Long non-coding RNA from Pezoporus flaviventris, 686 nucleotides. RefSeq lists it as uncharacterized. The record is from RefSeq and is a predicted model, not a curated record. The transcript is spliced from 3 exons. Lineage: Eukaryota; Metazoa; Chordata; Aves; Psittaciformes; Psittacidae.
AAGUAACACUAAUGAGCAAACCUGUCUCUGGAUUUCUGCUGCCUUACACAGCUUGAGUCCCCACAGCCCAGAGUUUCAGACCUGUAUCUUGUCCCAGAAGAUACAUCUUCCUGGGUAGGAGCUGGCAAUUUGCUCUCCUAAAUAACAGUGCACGACAUUAAGUCAGGGAGUGGGAUGCCCUUGAGAAGGUUCAAAUCCUCAGUGUCUAGCCUUCAGGCUCUGUAGAAUUGCAUCUUGCCUUCACUGUCCCUGAGGGGCUCAGCCAGCAACUCAAAGGGUCAGCAAGACCAAGAUCAUGAAAGCAGGAGCAUGACUCCAUAGCCAGGAAUGUUCAUCUUGGGCCAGAGAAACCUGGAAACAAGUCCUGGGUCCCACUCCAACCUUUGCCUCAAGUUUCCUGUGAGGUCUCAAUACUGGACCUUUGGAAGUGCCAUGAGCCUGGUUACGCUUUGCUUAGCACAUCUGGGGCCAGGCUUCCAAAGGUACCACAGACUAAAGGAGUCUUAAGAAAGGGUCUCAGUGAGGAUAGUAACAUGGAGUGCCUAACAUGAAUAACUUCUUGGGCAAAAGCACCUUGAAACUGAGCAUAUCAUGGCAGUAGGGUGCAACUGGAGAAGAAAGUUGAUAUUUUGAGAGAUUUUAAGACCUAUCGAGUCAGAAUAAAAAAGCCCAGGAAGGGCCCUGAU